This 329-nucleotide ribosomal RNA is filed under the name uncultured eukaryote. Its description in RNAcentral is "partial 18S ribosomal RNA". It matches the Rfam family "Eukaryotic small subunit ribosomal RNA", at positions 1470 to 1796 of the family's 1831-position model. The record is from RNAcentral.
CCCUUAGAUGUUCUGGGCCGCACGCGCGCUACACUGAUGCAUUCAACGAGCCUAUCCUUGACCGACAGGUCCGGGUAAUCUUUGAAUCUGCAUCGUGACGGGGAUAGAUUAUUGCAAUUAUUAAUCUUCAACGAGGAAUGCCUAGUAGGCGCAAGUCAUCAGCUUGCGUUGAUUACGUCCCUGCCCUUUGUACACACCGCCCGUCGCUACUACCGAUUGAAUGGUUCAGUGAGAUAAUCGGAUAGGUAACUCGGUGAGCAGCAAUGUUUACCAAGCAUACAUAGAAGACGAUCAAACUCAGUCAUCUAGAGGAAGUAAAAGUCGUAACA